Molecule: ribosomal RNA, 633 nt
Filed under: Fischerella sp. LCRNK45
Lineage: Bacteria; Bacillati; Cyanobacteriota; Cyanophyceae; Nostocales; Hapalosiphonaceae
Description: partial 16S ribosomal RNA
Rfam family: Bacterial small subunit ribosomal RNA
Source: RNAcentral
AGNGCGAGNGNANNCCGNUGGAACGGUGGCUAAUACCGGGUAUGCCGAGAGGUGAAAGGUUAACUGCCUGGAGAUGAGCUCGCGUCUGAUUAGCUAGUUGGUGGUGUAAGGGACUACCAAGGCGACGAUCAGUAGCUGGUCUGAGAGGAUGAUCAGCCACACUGGAACUGAGACACGGUCCAGACUCCUACGGGAGGCAGCAGUGGGGAAUUUUCCGCAAUGGGCGAAAGCCUGACGGAGCAAUACCGCGUGAGGGAGGAAGGCUCUUGGGUUGUAAACCUCUUUUCUCAGGGAAUAAGCAAGUGAAGGUACCUGAGGAAUCAGCAUCGGCUAACUCCGUGCCAGCAGCCGCGGUAAUACGGAGGAUGCAAGCGUUAUCCGGAAUGAUUGGGCGUAAAGCGUCCGUAGUGGCUGUGUGUGUCUAUUGUUAAAGAGUUUGGGCUCAACCAAAUAAGGGCGGUAGAAACUACACAGCUAGAGUGCGUUCGGGGGCAAGAGGGAAUUCCUGGUGUAGCGGUGAAAUGCGUAGAAGAUCAGGAAGAACACCGGNNGGCGAAAGCGCUCUGCUAGGCCNCACUGACACCUGAGGGACCAAAGCUAGGGGAGCGAAUGGNNNUUAGAUACCCCGNNNUG